AAUGAUUUAAAUUCUAAAUAUUUGGAAUGAGUACCCUAAUUAAAUAUUUAGGGUGAGACCAAUUGAAAAUGAUUGGACUAUGUAAAUAUUACAUAGCCCAAAGGAAUUAAAUAAAAUGUCCAAGUGUUGGCCAAUUAUGGAAGGACAUUUUAGUCAUUUAGGAAGUAAAUUAAAUUAAGCCCACUUGGAUGAUUUGGAGGCCACUUGGCCGAAUUUUUUCAAAAAAAAAAAAAGAGAGAUAAGGUUGCUAGAAUAAAAGAGAAAGAAAAAGAAAAGAUAAGGAUUAGAUGAGAAAGGGAGAGAAAGAAGAAAUGGGAGGAAGAGAGGGAGAGAAAAGGGAAGUGGCCGAAGCCCUUGUGUGGGAAGAGGAGGAGAUGGAAGGAUCUCCAUGAAGAAGAAGGAAGAAGGAGAAGAAAAGAAAGGUAUAACAUCUCUCUCUAAUCUCUUUCUAUGGAAUUUUUAUGAAAGGGGGUUUUGAUUUGGAUGUUCAAACCCUUAAGAUCUAUGUGUUUUCUAUGGAUUUAUGUAUGGAUUUACUCAUUUUUGAUGUUGAUUUGGGUGAAUCAAAAGAAUAAAGAAAAUUUAUUUUCUAGUUUUGAAUCCGAAAUUUCCUAGUACUUUGAAAUUUCACCGUUUUAAAUCUAUGACUUCUUUUUGCGAUCCGUCAAAAAGGGAUGUUAGAUAUAUGUGUUUAGUAGUUAACCCAAGUGGUAGUACUCAAAAAUGUUGAGUUUACAUGGGGUAGUGACUGAUUUGGUGAAAACAGUUCCGUUUUUAUAACCAAAAAUGGGCAGAUUCGGGGCAGUCAGUAGCGAGGGCAAUUUCGUCCAGUUUUUGUGCUUUAAAAAUUCUGGGCUUUUGGUAUGUUGUAGUACUCUGAUUUAGCUUUCCAUAGACUCCGGAACGGACUAAUUCCGAUUCCGGAUGAGGUAGUUAUGGCGUUCGGGAGAUGUGUAUCAAAACUGUUAAUCAAAUUCCGAACAGCCACCUUUGUGUAAAUUUCUGGACUGAUGUGUUAUGAUUUUGGAAAAAUGUCGUGAGACAAAAGUUGUAGCCCUGGAAGUUAUCUUCGCGUGGGCUCAAGAAUCGCUCAAAAAUGUUUUAAAACGCGAGAGUUAUGGCUGUUUUAGUGAGGCUGGGUAAAAAUUUUAAAAAAAAUCAAAAGUGUCCAAAAAUAGGAAAAAUGCGAUGUAUGAAGUGAGACCCGUGAGCAUGGCGUAUGCAAGUUUGUAAUGAAGUUUUGGGUCGGGUUUAAGGUGUUGUGAUGUUUAUGACAUUUUAAAAUGUUUAAACAAGUUUAUUAAUUACGGGAAGGAAAACAAUUGAAAUAAUUGUUUAUUUAAGUGAUUAAUGACAUAAAUUAUUUUUAUGUGACUAAUAAUAUGGUAUUGAGAUAUUAUUAGUAGUAUGUGACUGGAAUGUUAUUAAAAGGUUAGUAACCUUAGCGUAAAAUAUUAUUACAUAAUUAAUAAUAUUUGACGGGAGAUUUAAUAAGAGAUUUAUGAUAUUUUUCAAUGUAAUUGUUGAAAUUGAUAUUCAAUGAAGUAUAUUAUGUGUUUGGGCAUAUGAUAGAGAAAUAAUAAGUCAUAAUAAUCUAAUAAAGUCUUAUGGUGCGAAAUUUGACUAUAAGUAAUAUUUUAUGCCGAGAAACUUUCUUUCAGGCAUAAAUAAAGCAAUAAAAAUAUGUAAUAAAUAUAAAUUACAUAUUUAAGCGAAAAAUAUAUAUAUAUAUAUAUAUAGUUGCCUAUAAAAAUUAUUUUGUGGUGGAACAAAGAAUGUAAAACCUUUGAAAUAUUGUAUUAAUCAUAAAAAUGAUAUUUUGAGGUUUUCGGUGCUCAAAAUGAAGUUUUUGAGCUGAGAUUUACGUAACGAAGCAAAAAUGCGAAUAAUCGUAAAAUGAAAAAUAAAGCGAAUGUGCUAGUGAGAUAAAAUGUUUAUAUAUGAGGCAAUAGUCAGUGUUGACUCAUGAACGGACAAACUGAAGUAAAAGUUAUUUAAAGUGAAGAAAUAAUAUAGUAAAUUGAUUUUUACUAUAAAAGCUAUACAUUAGCUGUUUAAACUCCGAAUUUGCGAGUAGAGGUAAAAGAUAUUUCUGAAAUGAAAUUUAAAUGGUUUAAGUUUCAAGAUGUAAAGUAUUUGCAUCUUAAAAUGUGUGAGACCUUUAUUAUUUAUGAAACAAGUAAAAUAUUAUUACAUGAUUAAUAAUAUUAGAAGGUGAUUACAAUAUUAUUAAAUGAUUAAUAAUAUUAGUAAAGGAUUUAAAUAUUAUUAAAUGAUUAAUAAUAUUUGUAAAUGAUAAAUAUUCUAUAAAAAGAAUAUUAGGCAAAAGUUUAAGAUAAUGGAUAAGUGAUAGUAAUAUUAUUAAGGGAUAAUAAUAUUACUAAUGAGUUAAAGAAUUAUUUAAUGUUUAAUUAUGUGGCUAAAUGUUAGCUAAUUUAUUAUUUGAGUAAUAGUGUUGUGGGAUAAAAUGUAUUAUGCUAAUUGGAGGAUCGAUCUUAUUAAUGAUAGGUCUUUUAUAAGAGAUUAAAUUGAUUGCUUAGCGGUAAUCAACGGUACAGGCAAGUUCCUAAACUUGAACUUCUAAUUAUUGUGCAAGUUUCCUAACUCAACUUGAGUUAAUUCAAAGCAUGUUAGUGGUUAAUUAUUGUUGAUUAUACCACGUCAAUAAUUUAUUGAUUCGCACAUUGUGCAUGUUGUUUAUGUUCAUCAGGUAUGAAAGGCUGAUCACCUUCAUUACCAUAGGUUUCAGUUAAACUUGUUCAUGUUAAUUGUUGACAUCCAAUAUCAUUGGUUCAGUCAUUCAAUCAUUGAAACUUGAUUCAUGUUAUUUCACAAUUAUUAUAUUGUUGAAAACUUGAAAGCUUAUUCAUUCUUUUCAAUCAUGAUAUAUCUCCAUUGUAUGUAAAACUUGCUGGGCAAAUUUGUUGCUCACCCUUGCUAUAUCAUGAUAAAAUUUUCAGAUUAAGAUGAAGGCUUGAAUAAGGACAGAGGCAAAGACAAAGUGCAAAGUUUUUUUUUAUGUUGCAGUUAGAUUUAUUAAAUUUUCUGACGAAAAUAGUAUUGUAAACCUUUUUAAUAUUGAAGGUAUGUAUUAAGUUAAGGUUGUAGACCUUGGGACUGAUGUGUAAAGUUUAAUGUAUAAACAAUGUAUGUUUAUAUCUUCCGCAAUAGUUAUAGAAAUAGCGUACCGGAUCCGCGGCGAUUUGGGACCCGGAUUCGG
Molecule: long non-coding RNA, 3220 nt
Filed under: Panax ginseng (ginseng)
Lineage: Eukaryota; Viridiplantae; Streptophyta; Magnoliopsida; Apiales; Araliaceae
Description: long non-coding RNA (PGIN_LNC005030)
Source: RNAcentral